RNAcentral lists this ribosomal RNA (156 nucleotides) under Astrothelium aeneum. RNAcentral describes it as "5.8S ribosomal RNA". It matches the Rfam family "5.8S ribosomal RNA". Rfam says of the family: 5.8S ribosomal RNA (5.8S rRNA) is a component of the large subunit of the eukaryotic ribosome. It is transcribed by RNA polymerase I as part of the 45S precursor that also contains 18S and 28S rRNA. Lineage: Eukaryota; Fungi; Ascomycota; Dothideomycetes; Trypetheliales; Trypetheliaceae. The record is from RNAcentral.
CUUUCAACAACGGAUCUCUUGGCUCUAGCAUCGAUGAAGAACGCAGCGAAAUAAGAUAAGUAGUAUGAAUUGCAGAAUUCAGUGAAUCAUCGAAUCUUUGAACGCACAUUGCGCCCUUUGGUAUUCCGGGGAGCAUGUCUGUUCGAGCGUUAUAAA